CACCCAGCCCUAAAAAGUAAAUACUAUACAUUCUACAGUUAUUUUCAUCAACAUUAUUCUCAUAUUUUAUAAGUAGGUUGUAGGUACAACCUACGUAUCAGUCGAGCUGCGAGCCUGGGACAGGAUUCUGCUGCGUUGGACGUGGUGUUCCUCCCAGAGUGGCUACGCUGUGCAGACUUGAAAAACUCAAUUCUCUCCUUGCGCAAAAUUCUUCUUGUAGCUAGCCAUGCACAGUCGCUGUUUCGCCACCUGAGCAUUGCUGACGUCAUCUAAUAAUAGUUCAUCUGCUCAAGCUGCUGGUUUUGGCCCCCCUGAGCAUUGCCGGAGUCACAAUUCUUCAUAUUACUUUUGCUGAACUUUGAGCUCUUUAAGGACUGUGGUUCCAUAUGAUGUCUCCUACUCCCAACCCGCUGUAUCAUCAAGGAGUUCUCUUUCUCAUGACUAGCUUCAUGUGGCAUGUUGUUUUUGCUUCGAGCAGUUGAGACUACCUUAUGAACAUAUAUGUAGCUACCUAAUAAAAGCUGUAGGUUAAACUAGCAAGCUGACCGCCACCG
Molecule: long non-coding RNA, 554 nt
Filed under: Sorghum bicolor (sorghum)
Lineage: Eukaryota; Viridiplantae; Streptophyta; Magnoliopsida; Poales; Poaceae
Description: long non-coding RNA (SBIC_LNC014975)
Source: RNAcentral